GAAACCCAGCAUGAGUUAUGUCAUGUUAUCGAUAUGUGAAUACAUAGCAUAUCAGAAGGCACACCCGGAGAACUGAAACAUCUUAGUACCCGGAGGAAGAGAAAGAAAAUUCGAUUCCCUUAGUAGCGGCGAGCGAAACGGGAAGAGCCCAAACCAACAAGCUUGCUUGUUGGGGUUGUAGGACACUCUAUACGGAGUUACAAAGGACGACAUUAGACGAAUCAUCUGGAAAGAUGAAUCAAAGAAGGUAAUAAUCCUGUAGUCGAAAAUGUUGUCUCUCUUGAGUGGAUCCUGAGUACGACGGAGCACGUGAAAUUCCGUCGGAAUCUGGGAGGACCAUCUCCUAAGGCUAAAUACUCUCUAGUGACCGAUAGUGAACCAGUACCGUGAGGGAAAGGUGAAAAGCACCCCGGAAGGGGAGUGAAAUAGAACCUGAAACCGUGUGCUUACAAGUAGUCAGAGCCCGUUAAUGGGUGAUGGCGUGCCUUUUGUAGAAUGAACCGGCGAGUUACGAUUUGAUGCAAGGUUAAGCAGUAAAUGUGGAGCCGUAGCGAAAGCGAGUCUGAAUAGGGCGUUUAGUAUUUGGUCGUAGACCCGAAACCAGGUGAUCUACCCUUGGUCAGGUUGAAGUUCAGGUAACACUGAAUGGAGGACCGAACCGACUUACGUUGAAAAGUGAGCGGAUGAACUGAGGGUAGCGGAGAAAUUCCAAUCGAACCUGGAGAUAGCUGGUUCUCUCCGAAAUAGCUUUAGGGCUAGCCUCAAGUGAUGAUUAUUGGAGGUAGAGCACUGUUUGGACGAGGGGCCCCUCUCGGGUUACCGAAUUCAGACAAACUCCGAAUGCCAAUUAAUUUAACUUGGGAGUCAGAACAUGGGUGAUAAGGUCCGUGUUCGAAAGGGAAACAGCCCAGACCACCAGCUAAGGUCCCAAAAUAUAUGUUAAGUGGAAAAGGAUGUGGCGUUGCCCAGACAACUAGGAUGUUGGCUUAGAAGCAGCCAUCAUUUAAAGAGUGCGUAAUAGCUCACUAGUCGAGUGACACUGCGCCGAAAAUGUACCGGGGCUAAACAUAUUACCGAAGCUGUGGAUUGUCCUUUGGACAAUGGUAGGAGAGCGUUCUAAGGGCGUUGAAGCAUGAUCGUAAGGACAUGUGGAGCGCUUAGAAGUGAGAAUGCCGGUGUGAGUAGCGAAAGACGGGUGAGAAUCCCGUCCACCGAUUGACUAAGGUUUCCAGAGGAAGGCUCGUCCGCUCUGGGUUAGUCGGGUCCUAAGCUGAGGCCGACAGGCGUAGGCGAUGGAUAACAGGUUGAUAUUCCUGUACCACCUAUAAUCGUUUUAAUCGAUGGGGGGACGCAGUAG
RNAcentral lists this ribosomal RNA (1357 nucleotides) under Staphylococcus aureus. Its description in RNAcentral is "partial 23S ribosomal RNA". It matches the Rfam family "Bacterial large subunit ribosomal RNA", at positions 123 to 1480 of the family's 2925-position model. The record is from RNAcentral. Lineage: Bacteria; Bacillati; Bacillota; Bacilli; Caryophanales; Staphylococcaceae.